Molecule: ribosomal RNA, 200 nt
Filed under: uncultured bacterium
Lineage: Bacteria
Description: partial 16S ribosomal RNA
Rfam family: Bacterial small subunit ribosomal RNA
Source: RNAcentral
AGAGUUUGAUCAUGGCUCAGGACAAACGCUGGCGGCGUGCGUAACACAUGCAAGUCGGACGAGGGGGAGGCGCUUUUCGGAGGGUCUCUUUACGAGUGGCGGACGGGUGCGUAACACGUGGAUAACCUGCCCUGGUGUGGGGGAUACCCUGUAGAAAUACGGGCUAAUACCGCAUACGGUCGUUUUCGGGGAGCCGGGAG